RNAcentral lists this long non-coding RNA (369 nucleotides) under Homo sapiens (human). Its description in RNAcentral is "HSALNT0082325". The record is from RNAcentral. Lineage: Eukaryota; Metazoa; Chordata; Mammalia; Primates; Hominidae.
AAUUGAGAGAACAAGAUGGUUGUCACCUUGGGAAGUAAGGAGUAUGAAGAAUUAUUCAGGCAUGUGUCACUGGGGAUAUAGGUGCCACUGAUGCAAACAGGAAAGUGAGGAAGAAAAAGUAUGAUAGGGUUUGAGUUUAACUUUAGGUAAAAACAACACUACUUAUGAACUGUAAUGGUGAUUAGGCAAUAGGAGAUAUUUACAGCGUGGACUACAGUGUUUGAUAUCAGUAUUUAGAAAUGGUCAAUAGAAAGGUAAUUCAGGUUGAGGCUAUUAGAAAAAUGCUGAUUUGACACUGCGAGAUGUUGGAGUUACAAGAGAAAAAUGAAAAGCCUCAAAGGUGCUUUGGCUGACAACAAUAAGGUAGAG